Molecule: ribosomal RNA, 520 nt
Filed under: Bozakites sp. 2 BFS-2018
Lineage: Eukaryota; Metazoa; Arthropoda; Insecta; Hymenoptera; Ichneumonidae
Description: partial 16S large subunit ribosomal RNA
Rfam family: Archaeal large subunit ribosomal RNA (bases 392-520)
Source: RNAcentral
ACAUGUCUUUUUGAUUAUAAUUUAAAGUCGGGUCUGCUCAAUGAAUAAAAUUUAAAUAGCUGCAGUAUUUUAACUGUACAAAGGUAGCAUAAUCAAUAGUUUUUUAAUUGAAAGCUGGAAUGAAUGAUUUGAUAAAAUAAAUAUUGUCUCAAAUUUAAAAAAGUUAAAAUUUUAUUUUUAGUUAAAAAUCUUAGGUAAUUUUAAAAGACGAGAAGACCCUAUAGAUUUUUAUAAUUAGAGAUUUAAUUUAAUAAAUUUAAUAGAUUAAACAAUUUUUUUAAUUAUUUGGUUGGGGAAAUUAUUAAAUUAAUAAAAUUUUAAUUUAUAUAAAACAAAAAUUAUUGGAUUUUAGAUUUUAAAUAUUUAAAUUGAAAGAAUAAAAUACCUUAGGGAUAACAGCGUAAUUUUUUUAGAGAGACCAUAUUAAUAAAAAAGUUUGCGACCUCGAUGUUGAAUUAAGAUAAAAUUUUAUUGAAGGUGAUAAAUAUUUUUGGUCUGUUCGACCAUUAAAAUCUUACGU